RNAcentral lists this ribosomal RNA (629 nucleotides) under uncultured bacterium. RNAcentral's name for it is "bacterial SSU rRNA". It matches the Rfam family "Bacterial small subunit ribosomal RNA", at positions 31 to 644 of the family's 1533-position model. The record is from RNAcentral.
GAACGCUGGCGGCGUGCCUAAUACAUGCAAGUACGAACGCUGAAGGAGGAGCUUGCUUCUCUGGAUGAGUUGCGAACGGGUGAGUAACGCGUAGGUAACCUGCCUGGUAGCGGGGGAUAACUAUUGGAAACGAUAGCUAAUACCGCAUAAGAGUAGAUGUUGCAUGACAUUUGCUUAAAAGGUGCACUUGCAUCACUACCAGAUGGACCUGCGUUGUAUUAGCUAGUUGGUGGGGUAAGGGCUCACCAAGGCGACGAUACAUAGCCGACCUGAGAGGGUGAUCGGCCACACUGGGACUGAGACACGGCCCAGACUCCUACGGGAGGCAGCAGUAGGGAAUCUUCGGCAAUGGACGGAAGUCUGACCGAGCAACGCCGCGUGAGUGAAGAAGGUUUUCGGAUCGUAAAGCUCUGUUGUAAGAGAAGAACGAGUGUGAGAGUGGAAAGUUCACACUGUGACGGUAUCUUACCAGAAAGGGACGGCUAACUACGUGCCAGCAGCCGCGGUAAUACGUAGGUCCCGAGCGUUGUCCGGAUUUAUUGGGCGUAAAGCGAGCGCAGGCGGUUAGAUAAGUCUGAAGUUAAAGGCUGUGGCUUAACCAUAGUAGGCUUUGGAAACUGUUUAACUUG